GAUGAAGAACGCAGCGAAAUGCGAUACGUAAUGUGAAUUGCAGAAUUCAGUGAAUCAUCGAGUCUUUGAACGCACAUUGCGCCCCCUGGUAUUCCGGGGGCAUGCCUGUCCGAGCGUCAUUGCUGCCCUCAAGCACGGCUUGUGUGUUGGGCCUCCGUCCUCCUCCCGGGGGACGGGCCCGAAAGGCAGCGGCGGCACCGCGUCCGGUCCUCGAGCGUAUGGGGCUUCGUCACCCGCUCUUGUAGGCCCGGCCGGCGCUUGCCGACACAUCAAUCUUUUUUCCAGGUUGACCUCGGAUCAGGUAGGGAUACCCGCUGAACUUAAGCAUAUCAAUAAGCGGAGG
This 343-nucleotide unclassified non-coding RNA is filed under the name soil metagenome. RNAcentral describes it as "partial contains 5.8S ribosomal RNA, internal transcribed spacer 2, and large subunit ribosomal RNA". The stretch from base 1 to 119 matches the Rfam family "5.8S ribosomal RNA", at positions 35 to 154 of the family's 154-position model. The record is from RNAcentral.